AGAAUCUUUAGUUUAUGUUUAAAAUUUUUAGUUGUGGUCUAAGGGAAGUUUGGAUUUUA
This 59-nucleotide transfer RNA is filed under the name Dipetalonema gracile. Its description in RNAcentral is "tRNA-His". The record is from RNAcentral. Lineage: Eukaryota; Metazoa; Nematoda; Chromadorea; Rhabditida; Onchocercidae.